UCUCCGUAGGUGAACCUGCGGAGGGAUCAUUACACAAUAACAAGGCGGGCUGGACACCCCCAGCCGGGCACUGCUUCACGGCGUGCGCGGCUGGGCCGGCCCUGCUGAAUUAUUCACCCGUGUCUUUUGCGUACUUCUUGUUUCCUGGGUGGGCUCGCCCGCCAUCAGGACCAACCACAAACCUUUUGCAAUAGCAAUCAGCGUCAGUAACAACGUAAUUAAUUACAACUUUCAACAACGGAUCUCUUGGUUCUGGCAUCGAUGAAGAACGCAGCGAAAUGCGAUACGUAGUGUGAAUUGCAGAAUUCAGUGAAUCAUCGAAUCUUUGAACGCACAUUGCGCCCUUUGGUAUUCCAAAGGGCACGCCUGUUCGAGCGUCAUUUGUACCCUCAAGCUUUGCUUGGUGUUGGGCGUCUUUUGUCUCCAGUUCGCUGGAGACUCGCCUUAAAGUCAUUGGCAGCCGGCCUACUGGUUUCGGAGCGCAGCACAAGUCGCGCUCUUUGCCAGCCAAGGUCAGCGUCCAGCAAGCCUUUUUUUUCAACCUUUGACCUCGGAUCAGGUAGGGAUACCCGCUGAACUUAAGCA
Molecule: ribosomal RNA, 585 nt
Filed under: uncultured fungus
Lineage: Eukaryota; Fungi
Description: eukaryotic LSU rRNA
Rfam family: 5.8S ribosomal RNA (bases 227-380)
Source: RNAcentral